This is a long non-coding RNA of Sarcophilus harrisii (Tasmanian devil), 2319 nucleotides long. The record is from Ensembl. NCBI's taxonomy places the organism in Eukaryota, Metazoa, Chordata, Mammalia, Dasyuromorphia, Dasyuridae.
UGGGCGCUCCCCCUUUGCCCCACACAGGACAACUCCUCCCCCCCUCCCCCCAAGACAGAUGACCAAAGGAAGGAGAGAAAGGGAAAAGAGGGUGGGGCCUCUCCUUGCGGACACAGAGGCCCGGCCGUAUGUCUGGGCAGGGAGGGGGCACUCGCCGGCCCUCUUGUGCCAGCCACGUCUCCCAGGGGCCGCGGGGCCGGCUUCUCCGUCCUGCUAAAAGCACCGGGACCACCCGGAGCUCAGGCACGUGGCACAGCAUCAGCCUGCACUGAGGCCAACUUGGACCCCGACUCCCAAAGCUUUUACCAAGGGCCCGGGGCCCCAGAGGAUCUGCUUGCACUGCCCUGCGGCCGUGAGGGGGCCUGGGCAGGGGGUCUGGUUGUGGCAGCGCCCUCUCGGCUCACUCUCUCCUCGAGAUGGAGUGGGGGAGACAGCGAGGGGGGGUCCCUGCGGCCUGGCUGCCCUUCAGCACACCCAUUCCACAGGUGCGGUCACAGGCUGCUACUCCCUGCCCAGGCCUAUUGCUGCCCCAGCUCCUGCAGGACAUGAGGUGGUCCUGGCCCAGUUCUUUCAGGAUAUGAGGUGGUCCUGCCCCAGGCCCUGCAGGACCCCGGCCGGCUUCCUCCGGCCCCUGCUGGUGGGUGAAGGACUGGAGGAAACCUGUGAGUUUUAACCUUGAAACACAGGAGAGCUGGCAAACUCCAGAUUUCCCCCAAGCUCCGGGGGCCAGCAGGCCUUGAGCUUGGAGGAGUGGGGUGGGGGUGGGGAGGGGGCUCAUCCCAGUUUGUGUGAAUAGCCCUGCAGCCCACGCUGGACUAAGAUUCCCAGGCUGCCUCAGUGUGGGCCCCGGGAGCUGUCCGGUGCUGAAUCUCCCCAGAAAAGACACCGGCCCCUGGCCUUAAGCCCCGCCAAGGCCCACUGGCCCCAUGCUCUGUCAGUCUUAGGCGAGUCCCAGGGAGGCGGCUCCGGGCCCAGGCCCACAGGCAGGGCAGGCGUGGAGCCCGGCGGCCCAGGACGUGGCAGCUCUCUCCUGGGAAGCUGUUCAUUUGUGGAGGUGCCGUUGUGGGCUCAGGGCCCCAGCAGACUCCAGGAGCUGCUGCAGGGCAGACAGUGCCCGGGCCGCUCACGUACGGAAGAUGUCGGCUCUGACCGCUACCGACCGCCAGAUAAACCCGGGCCGUCCUUGAUGGAAGACAGCUCUGGGCAAGGUCCUCCCGUCCCCUUGGGAGGCGUCCACAAGGUGGGUGUGGAGGCCCGUCCAUUUGUAGAAAGCUGUGGUCAUGGGCACAGGCCCCUAUCAUGCCCGGGGAGCUGGCCACAAGAUGGAGCUGUGGGCAUGGGCACAGGCCCCCAUCAUGCCCGGGGAGCUGGCACGGGGGGACACGGGUCCUGAAGGCCCAACCUUUCCUGGAAGGUGGCACUUUGAGGGCUUCAAAGUGCCAGUGCAGUGAUGUGAGGCAAGUCCUCCCCACCCGCGCCAGACUGGCAUUUAUUUGCCAGAAAGGCCUUCGGUUCCUUGCUCUUUGUGCAGCCCAGGCACCGCCAGCCCAGGAGAUGCUGCCUGGCAUUAGAGGGCAGGGGUAGGAUGGGACCAGGCGGGCACCAGGCGCCCAGAACACCGGACGUCUUAGGGGAGAUGGGCUCCCUGGACAGAAGUUUGGGGUCCGAAGGCUCAAGCUGGGAGCCAUGAAAACAGAGACGCUGGUCAGGGCUGGGGCCCGGGUGGGGCACGAGCUGGAGACCUCUCCGGUCUCCGGGCCCCCGCGGUCCUGCGGGCUCGUCCCCGUGGCUCUGACGGGAGCAUUUCUGGGUCCGGGCAAACGGCGGGAGCGGUGGUUGCUGGGAGCUCUCCCACCAAGGCCUGUUCCCGGGGGGGCGCUGGGGACGCGCCUCAGUCCCGUCCGGGUGGGGAGGGGGGGGGUCCUUUGUAAGGUUCUCCGCGUGGCCAGAACGCGCUCCCGGGACAGAGACCCCGAGUCACCCGGGGAGAGGAUGGGGCGGGGGCGCAGGCGCCGGGGCGGCCGCCGGGCCUCCUCUGCCGGCCAAUCAAGCGGACGACUCUCCGGACCUCAGGGCCGUGACCUCCGAGUCCUCCGCGGGGGCGAACUUGCCGUUGAGCUGCUCGUUGUGGGCAUCGGGGGAGUAGAGGUAAGCGGGGACCUCGGUGAGCGAGGUGGCGGUGUAGGAGGCCGAGCGGGUGGAGCAGCGAUCCCGGCGCCGCUGGCCCCACUGGGUCUUGUACUGGGCCCACUGCCGCUUCAGGGCGCCUUGCACCUGCAGAGGCGGGAGGGGGGGGGGGGUUAGUGCAGCCGGGAGCCC